This 117-nucleotide ribosomal RNA is filed under the name Scutula epiblastematica. Its description in RNAcentral is "partial 28S ribosomal RNA". Lineage: Eukaryota; Fungi; Ascomycota; Lecanoromycetes; Lecanorales; Ramalinaceae. The record is from RNAcentral.
CUUUGAACGUAGUAAAAUUUCAAUUCGUUCUGAAAGCCUUCCCACCGUGGCCGGCCAAAACCGCCAUAUCUUCUUAAGAUCGACCUCGGAUCAGGUAGGGAUACCCGCUGAACUUAA